This 309-nucleotide unclassified non-coding RNA is filed under the name plant metagenome. RNAcentral's name for it is "partial contains 5.8S ribosomal RNA, internal transcribed spacer 2, and large subunit ribosomal RNA". The stretch from base 1 to 105 matches the Rfam family "5.8S ribosomal RNA", at positions 50 to 154 of the family's 154-position model. The record is from RNAcentral.
GAAAUGUGAUAAGUAGUGUGAAUUGCAGAAUUCAGUGAAUCAUCGAAUCUUUGAACGCACAUUGCGCCCCUUGGUAUUCCAUGGGGCAUGCCUGUUCGAGCGUCAUUUGUACCCUCAAGCUCUGCUUGGUGUUGGGUGUUUGUCCCGUCUCCGCGCGUGGACUCGCCCCAAAGUGAUUGGCAGCCGGCGUACUGGUCCCGGAGCGCAGCACAUGUCGCGCAAACGAGUGCCUUGGUACGACGGCGUCCAUAAGCCCCUCUCUCACGCUCUUGACCUCGGAGCAGGUAGGGAUUCCCGCUGAACUUAAGC